CGGCCGCGUCUUCUUGGAGGAUGAAGAAGUCAUCCUGCCGCGUGCUGGGAGAGGGGCGGGAGGAAGAGCAUGUGAGAGUGACAGGAACUGACGCAGCUCCGGCCGCUCCUCCAGCCCCAGGUAGUCCCCAACGAAGUUCCUAUUGAUGCUGUUGCGUCUCCGCUCCUUCUUGUUCAGCAGGAUGUUGGAAGCUGUGGGGGCACAGGGUCGGGGGAGGGGCAGAGGUCAUGGUUUGGCUCCCCCAAGCCAAUCCGUCCUCAGCCCCAGCUUCCCACCUGCAGCCUCUCACCUUCCUCCCGCAUCUCCUCGUACUUCCGGACUGCCACAUGGCGCCGCCAGGCCUUCUGGAUGGUGCGGGCAAAGCCAUCGAACUUGCGCUCUCGCAUCUCCUCUAGAAGGAAGAGCUGGACAAGAAGGAGGGCUGGUGGGUCCUGGCAUCUCCCCGGGGAGCACAGUUUCCAGUUUCCUCUGAGUUUCCACCCCACCCAUGUACUUUUGCUGACAGGCACCUGCACACAUGCUUUUACGUUAUGGACACAAAAUUUUGUCUUCUUCCAAAUGACCAGACCCAGAAAUCCCUCCCAAUUUGGAGCAUAGCUUCUGCAUUAAAUUACAACUCUAGA
Molecule: long non-coding RNA, 623 nt
Organism: Odocoileus virginianus texanus
Lineage: Eukaryota; Metazoa; Chordata; Mammalia; Artiodactyla; Cervidae
Source: RefSeq, a predicted model, not a curated record